RNAcentral lists this ribosomal RNA (429 nucleotides) under Pseudomonadota bacterium. Its description in RNAcentral is "Proteobacteria bacterium partial 16S ribosomal RNA". It matches the Rfam family "Bacterial small subunit ribosomal RNA", at positions 355 to 776 of the family's 1533-position model. The record is from RNAcentral. Lineage: Bacteria; Pseudomonadati; Pseudomonadota.
UGGGGAAUAUUGGACAAUGGGCGAAAGCCUGAUCCAGCCAUGCCGCGCGUGUGAAGAAGGUCUUCGGAUUGUAAAGCACUUUAAGUUGGGAGGAAGGGCAGUAAGCGAAUACCUUGCUGUUUUGACGUUACCGACAGAAUAAGCACCGGCUAACUCUGUGCCAGCAGCCGCGGUAAUACAGAGGGUGCAAGCGUUAAUCGGAAUUACUGGGCGUAAAGCGCGCGUAGGUGGUUCGUUAAGUUGAAUGUGAAAGCCCCGGGCUCAACCUGGGAACUGCAUCCAAAACUGGCGAGCUAGAGUAGGGCAGAGGGUGGUGGAAUUUCCUGUGUAGCGGUGAAAUGCGUAGAUAUAGGAAGGAACACCAGUGGCGAAGGCGACCACCUGGGCUCAUACUGACACUGAGGUGCGAAAGCGUGGGGAGCAAACAGG